RNAcentral lists this ribosomal RNA (480 nucleotides) under Triticum aestivum (bread wheat). RNAcentral's name for it is "partial small subunit ribosomal RNA". Lineage: Eukaryota; Viridiplantae; Streptophyta; Magnoliopsida; Poales; Poaceae. The record is from RNAcentral.
AUGCUGCAGGCCUGCAACAUUUAUAGAGGAGGAUUGCGGGUGUCGAUACAAUGGAGCAAUUUCUGGCUUUGUAGUUGGAGCAUAGCCUCGAUUAUGCAUGAUUUUGGGCAAUUGGAUGUUAAUCUGCUAUGGGCAGCGGCGGUGCAUCAAGGUGCAAGGCAGCAGCGAGAUGUUCAUAUUACGCUAAAGGAUGAACUCCUACUUUUUCUGAUGCUAGCUCCUUGCUGCAGAUAUACCAGCCUGCUUACAUCUCCCAAGAUAUCCUCUUGGUCAAGGCAAUUGCACAUGAUGAAGCCACUCAUUUUAGUGGUACACCACACUCUGAGCAAUAGGACCAAAAACAGGAAGAUAAAUUUUCACAAUUCGAUUCUUCAUAUUUUCCAGAAGUACGGCCACCUUCUGCACAGUGCCCUUGCAUUUGUGUUCUUAUCAAAUGAGUUUCUUUCCGUAGAAUUUGUUCAGGAUAUACAUUGUGCUUAA